RNAcentral lists this ribosomal RNA (398 nucleotides) under uncultured bacterium. RNAcentral describes it as "partial 16S ribosomal RNA". It matches the Rfam family "Bacterial small subunit ribosomal RNA", at positions 523 to 918 of the family's 1533-position model. The record is from RNAcentral.
AUACGUAGGGUGCGAGCGGUGUCCGGAAUUACUGGGCGUAAAGAGCUCGUAGGUGGUUUGUCGCGUCGUCUGUGAAAUUCCGGGGCUUAACUCCGGGCGUGCAGGCGAUACGGGCAUAACUUGAGUACUGUAGGGGAGACUGGAAUUCCUGGUGUAGCGGUGACAUGCGCAGAUAUCAGGAGGAACACCGGUGGCGAAGGCGGGUCUCUGGGCAGUAACUGACGCUGAGGAGCGAAAGCAUGGGUAGCGAACAGGAUUAGAUACCCUGGUAGUCCAUGCCGUAAACGGUGGGCGCUAGGUGUAGGGGUCUUCCACGACUUCUGUGCCGUAGCUAACGCAUUAAGCGCCCCGCCUGGGGAGUACGGCCGCAAGGCUAAAACUCAAAGGAAUUGACGGGG